This is a long non-coding RNA of Aedes aegypti (yellow fever mosquito), 402 nucleotides long. RefSeq lists it as uncharacterized. The transcript has 2 exons. Lineage: Eukaryota; Metazoa; Arthropoda; Insecta; Diptera; Culicidae. The record is from RefSeq and is a predicted model, not a curated record.
AAUAAUUUAGUUCGUUAACGCAAGUGCAUUUGAAUGGGAAAAAUGCUAAAUUCAUCAGUAUAGUUGUUAGUUUCUUUGUAAAAUGGUAAAUGAAAACGGUCCCAGACAUGGCAGCGGUGGUAGCCAAUAAUUUGAAGGAGUAAAUGCACUAGAUACCGGAUAGAGAGAACCAGAAUGUGGAGCGAAACGACAUUUAUAGAAGGGCGAGAAUUAAAAGGCAACGGGGGCGUUAAACAUUUCUCCCGGAUGGUGAUAAAGUGAAUCGCAUUGGAAUUAUUUGUAUAGCAAAAGUUGCCGACAUGAAUGUCCCUGAAGUAUAUUCGAAACAUUGGUUUCUACAAAAAGACUAUAGAUUAGAACUGCUGCAACCAAAUGGAGUAAAUAAAUGUGAAUAAUAUGUAA